RNAcentral lists this ribosomal RNA (432 nucleotides) under uncultured bacterium. Its description in RNAcentral is "partial 16S ribosomal RNA". It matches the Rfam family "Bacterial small subunit ribosomal RNA", at positions 29 to 507 of the family's 1533-position model. The record is from RNAcentral.
AACGAACGCUGGCGGCAUGCCUAACACAUGCAAGUCGAACGAGACCUUCGGGUCUAGUGGCGCACGGGUGCGUCACGCGUGGGAAUCUACCCUCAGGUUCGGAAUACCUCAGAGAAAUUUGAGCUAAUACAGGAUGAUGACGUAAGUCCAAAGAUUUAUCGCCUGAGGAUGAGCCCGCGUAGGAUUAGGUAGUUGGUGAGGUAAAGGCUCACCAAGCCGACGAUCCUUAGCUGGUCUGCGAGGAUGAUCAGCCACACUGGGACUGAGACACGGCCCAGACUCCUACGGGGGGCGGCAGUGGGUAAUAUUGGACAUAGGGCGAAAGCCUGAUCCAGCAUGGCCGCGGAAGUAUUAAAGGCCUUAGGGUUGUAAAGCUCUUUUACCGGGAUGAUAAUGACAGUACCGGGAGAAUAAGCGCCGGCUAACUCCGUG